GACGAACGCUGGCGGCGUGCCUAAUACAUGCAAGUAGAACGCACAGUUUAUACCGUAGCUUGCUACACCAUAGACUGUGAGUUGCGAACGGGUGAGUAACGCGUAGGUAACCUGCCUGGUAGCGGGGGAUAACUAUUGGAAACGAUAGCUAAUACCGCAUAAUAUUGAUUAUUGCAUGAUAAUUGAUUGAAAGAUGCUAUUGCAUCACUACCAGAUGGACCUGCGUUGUAUUAGCUAGUAGGUGAGGUAACGGCUCACCUAGGCGACGAUACAUAGCCGAGCUGGGAGGGUGGACGGCCAAACUGGGACUGAGACAAGGGCCAGACUCCUAAGGGAGGCAGCAGUAGGGAAUCUUCGGCAAUUGACGAAAGUCUGACCGAGCAACGCCGCGUGAGUGAAGAAGGUUUUCGGAUCGUAAAGCUCUGUUGUAAGAGAAGAACGGGUGUGAGAGUGGAAAGUUCACACUGUGACGUUAUCUUACCAGAAAGGGACGGCUAACUACGUG
RNAcentral lists this ribosomal RNA (505 nucleotides) under uncultured bacterium. RNAcentral's name for it is "partial 16S ribosomal RNA". It matches the Rfam family "Bacterial small subunit ribosomal RNA", at positions 28 to 507 of the family's 1533-position model. The record is from RNAcentral.